UACGGGGGGAGCAAGCGUUGUUCGGAUUUACUGGGCGUAAAGGGCGCGUAGGCGGCCAGCACAAGUCAGUUGUGAAAUCUCCGGGCCUAACUCGGAAAGGUCAACUGAUACUGUGCGGCUAGAGUGCAGAAGGGGCAACUGGAAUUCUCGGUGUAGCGGUGAAAUUCGUAGAUAUCGGGAGGAACACCAGUGGCGAAGGCGGCGACCUGGGCUGAUAUUGACGCUGAGGUUCGAAAGCGUGGGGAGCAAACAGG
This 254-nucleotide ribosomal RNA is filed under the name uncultured bacterium. Its description in RNAcentral is "partial 16S ribosomal RNA". It matches the Rfam family "Bacterial small subunit ribosomal RNA", at positions 524 to 776 of the family's 1533-position model. The record is from RNAcentral.